Molecule: ribosomal RNA, 474 nt
Filed under: uncultured bacterium
Lineage: Bacteria
Description: SSU rRNA
Rfam family: Bacterial small subunit ribosomal RNA
Source: RNAcentral
AGGACGAACGCUGGCGGCGUGCUUAACACAUGCAAGUCGAACGGAAAGGCCCUUCGGGGUACUCGAGUGGCGAACGGGUGAGUAACACGUGGGUGAUCUGCCCUGCACUUUGGGAUAAGCCUGGGAAACUGGGUCUAAUACCGAAUAGGACCACGGCAUGCAUGUGCUGUGGUGGAAAGCUUUUGCGGUGUGGGAUGGGCCCGCGGCCUAUCAGCUUGUUGGUGGGGUGAUGGCCUACCAAGGCGACGACGGGUAGCCGGCCUGAGAGGGUGUCCGGCCACACUGGGACUGAGAUACGGCCCAGACUCCUACGGGAGGCAGCAGUGGGGAAUAUUGCACAAUGGGCGCAAGCCUGAUGCAGCGACGCCGCGUGGGGGAUGACGGCCGUUCGGUUGUAACCCCUUUCAGUAGGGACGAAGCGCAAGUGACGGUACCGUACAGAAGAGCACCGGCCAACUACGUGCCAGCAGCCGC